This 310-nucleotide unclassified non-coding RNA is filed under the name Hevea brasiliensis (rubber tree). Lineage: Eukaryota; Viridiplantae; Streptophyta; Magnoliopsida; Malpighiales; Euphorbiaceae. The record is from RNAcentral.
CAUUUCCACUCUGUCUAAUGCAUAUAUAGACAGAGGGAGCUAAGCAAUAGUAAAUUGCAGUAAUUGUAACAAUGGCGUCCUCUUCUUGUUUGAGAGCAGAAAACGUCUUUUCUCACACCAUCUCCAAGUUUAAGCAUUCAAAUGGAAAUGGAAAUGGAAAUGGGAGCAUCCGUUCUCCUCCAAUCUCAUCGUUUUCUCUGCUUUCCUCUUCUCCUAUCUUCUCUCCAAAAUCUCCUCUUUUGAAAACCUCACUUUCUCACUCUCUCUCCAUCAAAGCCUCCUCUUCUUCGUCUUCCACUGCCAUCGCCGA